CCUACGGGUGGCUGCAGUGGGGAAUAUUGGACAAUGGGGGCAACCCUGAUCCAGCCAUGCCGCGUGUGUGAAGAAGGCCCUCGGGUUGUAAAGCACUUUCAGUGAGGAAGAACGCCUGGUGGUUAAUACCCAUCAGGAAAGACAUCACUCACAGAAGAAGCACCGGCUAACUCCGUGCCAGCAGCCGCGGUAAUACGGAGGGUGCGAGCGUUAAUCGGAAUUACUGGGCGUAAAGCGCGCGUAGGUGGCUUGAUAAGCCGGUUGUGAAAGCCCCGGGCUCAACCUGGGAACGGCAUCCGGAACUGUCAAGCUAGAGUGCAGGAGAGGAAGGUUGAAUUCCCGGUGUAGCGGUGAAAUGCGUAGAGAUCGGGAGGAAUACCAGUGGCGAAGGCGGCCUUCUGGACUGACACUGACACUGAGGUGCGAAAGCGUGGGUAGCAAACAGGAUUAGAUACCCCGGUAGUC
Molecule: ribosomal RNA, 465 nt
Filed under: Vreelandella stevensii
Lineage: Bacteria; Pseudomonadati; Pseudomonadota; Gammaproteobacteria; Oceanospirillales; Halomonadaceae
Description: partial 16S ribosomal RNA
Rfam family: Bacterial small subunit ribosomal RNA
Source: RNAcentral